UCAAACUUGGUCAUUUAGAGGAAGUAAAAGUCGUAACAAGGUUUCCGUAGGUGAACCUGCGGAAGGAUCAUUAAAAAGAUUUGGCUUUAUAUUAUUGAAGCUAAUUAUCUGAACUUGUGGUAACAAUGAACUAUUUGAAUUGGGUUUAAUAAUGGUGCUUUUAAUUUAAAGGUAUCGGCCCAAAACAAUUUAUAAACGCUUCUUUUAUUUGACUGAAUUAUCAAGUAAAUAAUCCAAUACGGAUUAAAAAAGUUUUAAAUAACUUUCAACAACGGAUCUCUUGGUUCUCGCAUCGAUGAAGAACGCAGC
RNAcentral lists this unclassified non-coding RNA (309 nucleotides) under uncultured fungus. RNAcentral describes it as "partial contains small subunit ribosomal RNA, internal transcribed spacer 1, and 5.8S ribosomal RNA". The stretch from base 1 to 73 matches the Rfam family "Eukaryotic small subunit ribosomal RNA", at positions 1759 to 1831 of the family's 1831-position model. Lineage: Eukaryota; Fungi. The record is from RNAcentral.